RNAcentral lists this ribosomal RNA (497 nucleotides) under uncultured bacterium. RNAcentral describes it as "partial 16S ribosomal RNA". It matches the Rfam family "Bacterial small subunit ribosomal RNA", at positions 28 to 507 of the family's 1533-position model. The record is from RNAcentral.
GAUGAACGCUGGCGGCGUGCCUAAUACAUGCAAGUCGAGCGAACAGACGAGGAGCUUGCUCCUCUGACGUUAGCGGCGGACGGGAGAGUAACACGUGGAUAACCUACCUAUAAUACUGGGAUAACUUCGGGAAACCGGCGCUAAUACCGGAUAAUAUAUUGAACCGCAUGGGUCAAUAGUGAAAGUCGGUUUUGCUGGCUCUUAUCGCUGGAUCCGCGCCGCAUGAGCUAGUUGGUAAGGUAACGGGCUACCAAGGCAACUAUGCGUAGACGACGUGAGUGGGUGAUAGGCCACAUUGGAACUGAGACAGGCUCCAGACUCCUAAGGUACGGACCAGUAGGCUAUCGUCCGCAGUGGGCGAGAGCCUGGCGGAGUAGCGCGGCGCGAGUGAUGAAGAUCCUCGGAGCGUAAUACUGUGUUACGAGGGAAGAACAAAUGUGUAAGUAACUAUGCACGUCGUGACGGUACCUAAUCAGAAAGCCCCGGCUAACUACGUG